Marinobacter santoriniensis NKSG1 is the source of this 62-nucleotide non-coding RNA. The record is from Rfam. NCBI's taxonomy places the organism in Bacteria, Pseudomonadati, Pseudomonadota, Gammaproteobacteria, Pseudomonadales, Marinobacteraceae.
CAUGCGGUGCCUGGCGCCGGGCGAUUUGCCUAUGACCGGGUAGCGGCAUGACCGAUAGAGGU